CAUUCAAAAUCCAUGCAAUUCUAGAGCCUCUAGCUCAAUUCUCUAUCGCUGACGUGGAAAUAUAAUUCCACAUGUAAUAUUUUAUUUUAAAACAAUAUAUUUUAUUUUCAUUUUACAUUUAAUAUUCAUCCCUAAUCCUACGCCACCUCCAUUCUAACAAUGAAUACAAAAUCUGCAAAAACCAUGAAAAACACCUCCAUACGAACAAUGUACCAAAUCUGCAAAAACCAUGAAAACCAGUCACCCAACCACAAUUCGCCGCAAUUCCCACCGCCAUCGCUGCCUUCAACAGCUGCAAUCUGCUUUGUCGGACCACUCGGCCCCCCUUCCUCCCAACACUGUGAUCUGUCCCACCGCGCGAUCUGCCCCUCCUGCCGCCUCGAUCUACUGCUCAAGCCCUAAUUCGUCCCAAAUCUGCAAAGGUGACGAGAGGAGGGGGCAGGCCGACGAUACCCUACGGCCGCGAUGGCCGCGAUGGAAGGGUUUGUUGCUGUCGGAGGCUGCGGUGACGAGAUGAGAGGGCAGGCCGACGAUUCCCUACGGUCGCGACGCCGCCGAUCUUCGCCCCUUCUCCGACACUCUCAACACUAAUAUGGAAUUGAUCUGCCCCCUCCAUCUUCCCCCACGCGAUCUGCCCCUCCCUUCCCCCACCGCGAUUCGCCGGCAGCCUCCGCGAUCUUCUGUAAUUCUUUGGUAAGUAUUAAAUUAGUUUCCUAAUUUAAUAACGCGUUGACUAUUGUACAUAUAGAAUGAUUAUUAUUUUAGAAAGAUCAAAUUUUGGAAAGAAUUUUUACAAUGGAAACUUAUAACCUAGAUUUUUAGCUAUAAAUUCCUUAGUAAAAAUGAUUUAGGUCCCAUCGUGUUUUUACGGCCAACCCAAGGUAUCUAUAUUCUUCUUUUCCUCCGUUUUUUUUUUGUUCAUUGGUAUAUUGAUCUUUCGCAAAUUAUAGUUCGUGGAUUUACAAGAAUAUAGUGUCAGCUUUUUGUUUGCCAGCUUCUUGAGGUGUCUGGUUCUGAUCUAAUGGGAAGAGUAACCCUUAAUUCAAUCAGUGCUCCAUCCAGUAAAAGUUAUGCGAAGACAUUACUUUCUGGAUUUGUUGUGAUUUUAUCUCCAACCUGUGAAUUCUAUGUCAUGAGCCUCCAUAUUAAUUAAUGUUAAGUGUUUGGGAGGAGAAUGUCCCAACAAAGGACCCUAAAUAUACUCUCAGUUUAGGGAUAAUCAACUUUUUGUAUUCUUUUGAAUUGAUAUGUCAUUUUGGCUUGUGAAUAGGAAGACCUAUUUAUAUCUUAUUACGUCACUAAUUCAAAUUUGAUUACCAUGUGAAUCUAAUAUUGUAGAUCAUACUCCCUAAGUCCAAUUUAUGAGGCUAUCGCUAGGCCAUUUGAGUCGGUCCCCAUUGGCAUAGGGAAAGAUGACUGUGAGAUCACAUGGUGAUUCAAUUUCAGAAGCCAAAACAGCAGAUGAAAAAGUUCAGUCCCCAUCCUUAAAGUAUUGGGGGCUAGCAUCUAUCAAGUUCUUCAAGAAUGACAGCGGGCACUAAGAAAAAUUCCCUGCUUUUAAGGUAAAAUCUUCUUCCCCCUGUCUGAGCCGCAAGUAUUUGAUUUGGAAACCACGUCGUGUAGGUUAUGUUAUCUUGCUCGAGGAAGAAACGGAGAGUGCUCGGUUGUUCCGCUUGGCUGUUGCAAUACGAAGAGUUGGUUGGGAUAAGCUAAAGGUGCUGUCAGUUAAAUUCUUCUGUUAUUUUUAGCUUUUUUCUGGUUUGUCUUUCUUUUGGGGAUAUGAGAAUCAUUAAUAGCUGAUGAAAUUGGACCUUUGUGUUU
This is a long non-coding RNA of Salvia miltiorrhiza (redroot sage), 1821 nucleotides long. RefSeq lists it as uncharacterized. The record is from RefSeq and is a predicted model, not a curated record. NCBI's taxonomy places the organism in Eukaryota, Viridiplantae, Streptophyta, Magnoliopsida, Lamiales, Lamiaceae. The transcript has 3 exons.